Oryza meridionalis is the source of this 195-nucleotide non-coding RNA. Lineage: Eukaryota; Viridiplantae; Streptophyta; Magnoliopsida; Poales; Poaceae. The record is from Rfam.
AAAAAUUGUAGUUUUACAAGAUUUAUAUUCAACGUGACCGUCUGUCUUAUUUGAAAAAAAUUAUGAUUAGUAUUUUAUUUGUUAUUAGAUGAUAAAACAUAAAUAAUAAUUUAUGUGUGACUAAUUUUUUUAAAAGAAUUUUAAAUAAGACGGACGGUUAAACGUUGAACACGCAAACUCGUAACUGCACUUAAA